This 918-nucleotide long non-coding RNA is filed under the name Anser cygnoides (Swan goose). RNAcentral describes it as "lncRNA (ENSACDG00005002374.1)". The record is from RNAcentral. Lineage: Eukaryota; Metazoa; Chordata; Aves; Anseriformes; Anatidae.
GAGCUCCAAGAUGGCUACUACCAUGAUCUUGUCUUGGAUGGUAAUGAUGAGUCUUCAUAUUCAGGUGGAUACAGCAUCAAUACCUCCAACAACAGUCAUAGCCGAUGGUGAGUCUGCCUGCCAGAGCGCUGUGGCCCCAUGCGUUGGGAAGCACAUGCCCACUGCUUCCCCAGCCUCGUCGCCCACCAGCGGGGAGCCCGGGAAGGGGCUGCCGGCCCUACGUGGUGCUGCGGGCGGCUCCUGCUGGGGUUCAGGGCCGGGUGUUCUUGGGGUGCAGGCGGGAGGGAGCCUGCGCUCUCCGGUCCCCCUGCUGGGAAUCUGAGAGCUGGAGUUGGAGAGCGCAGGCCCACUUGGCCAGCGGUGGGGUCCUGCCCCCUUGGCUGUCCCGGGGCAUGUGGAAGCCGGGGCUCGUGGAAAAGGACCUGUGGGCCCCUCUGGACCACAGGCACCAUCCGCUUUCUCGUGCACGAGGAGGCAAAGGUCCCUGCCUGGAACCAGAGCCCCACGCACCUAAUGCAGCUUCUCAUGUCUUUCCAAGAGCUGGAGCUGCGGCUGACCGACGGGCCAAACCGCUGUGCAGGCAACGUGGAAAUCGACUAUUUUGGAAUGAACGUGAAAGUGUGUGGUUUCCUGUGGGACAUGGACGAUGCUCAGGUUGUGUGCAGGCAGCUUGACUGCGGCUUGCCUGUCAGCGUGAUGAACUAUUUCCCCUCGAGCGAUUCGUAUCCGUGGUACCACUGGACUGCGGUGGAUUGUAAGGGCUCUGAAACCUCUUUGCUGUUUUGCCCUUAUGAGCACUCACCCUCCGACUGCCAUCACGGGGCUGCUUCUGUCGUCUGCUCAGUCUCGUGACUAACAAGGCCUCUAAUGAAAGUGCCAGAUAGCCCCAGCUCGACUCCCACUUUGCCUCAACUUCAG